This 462-nucleotide ribosomal RNA is filed under the name uncultured bacterium. RNAcentral describes it as "partial 16S ribosomal RNA". It matches the Rfam family "Bacterial small subunit ribosomal RNA", at positions 28 to 507 of the family's 1533-position model. The record is from RNAcentral.
GACGAACGCUGGCGGCGUGCUUAACACAUGCAAGUCGAGCGGUAAGGCCUUUCGGGGUCCACGAGCGGCGAACGGGUGAGUAACACGUGGGUGAUCUGCCCUGCACUUCGGGAUGAGCCUGGGAAACUGGGUCUAAUACCGGAUAUGACCUCCUAUCGCAUGGUGGGUGGUGGAAAGAUUUAUCGGUGCAGGAUGGGCCCGCGGCCUAUCAGCUUGUUGGUGGGGUAAUGGCCUACCAAGGCGACGACGGGUAGCCGACCUGAGAGGGUGACCGGCCACACUGGGACUGAGACACGGCCCAGACUCCUACGGGAGGCAGCAGUGGGGAAUAUUGCACAAUGGGCGAAAGCCUGAUGCAGCGACGCCGCGUGAGGGAUGACGGCCUUCGGGUUGUAAACCUCUUUCAGCAGGGACGAAGCGCAAGUGACGGUACCUGCAGAAGAAGCACCGGCUAACUACGUG